RNAcentral lists this long non-coding RNA (1217 nucleotides) under Anolis carolinensis (green anole). RNAcentral's name for it is "lncRNA (ENSACAG00000042498.1)". The record is from RNAcentral. Lineage: Eukaryota; Metazoa; Chordata; Lepidosauria; Squamata; Anolidae.
AAGUCUGAAAUGUUGGAGUCUGUUAUGGAGUACUAGCAUGUUGCUGUGGCGAAGUAUGGUGGUAUGGGAAAUAAAGUCUUGAGGAAUUGGUGAUAGUUAAGGUAAAGGGUAAAGGUUUUCCCCUGACAUUAAAUCCAUUAUAAAUGGGUUAUAUAGCUGUGUGGAAGGGCCUUGAAUCUACACUGCCAUAUAAUCCAGUUCAAAUCUGAUAAUCUGUAUUUUAUAGGCAGUGUGGAAGAGGCCUAAGUGAGGUCUAACUCUGCCUGUCCCCUGGGCUGAGUGGGUUGCAAGGAGACCAAGUGAGCGGAGCUUAGCCUUCUAACUGGCAGCAAUUGGAUAAAAACAAUUAUUCCUUCUCCCUCUAAUUAGGACUUUAUUUUUCUUUUCUUUUUGUUGUAUGCAUGGAUGAGGGGUUGUACUACCAAGUUUAAUGUUUCUGGGAUGUGUAGUUUUGUUGUUUUGUCCUAGGCCGAAAUUUCAUUACCCUUUUAUAUAUAGAUAGAUGAAGCGGAUAGGACAGAGCAUGGAGAGUAAACCAGCAAGUUAAUUUCCUUUUAAUGCAGCUUUUCACAAAAAAAAAAAUACAGAACUCCUCAUGCCUCUGGUCUUGGGAAGACAUGCCAAUGAGCCUGGCAUUUCUCUAUUAUUUGGUCCUCAAUCUCAGGGUGCAUCUACACUGUAGAAUUAAUGCAGUUUGACACCAUUUGAACUUCCACGACCCAAUGCUAUAGCAUCCCAAGAUUUGUAAUUUGACAAGACAGCAGCACUCUUUAACCAAGGAGGCUAAAAACCCUGCAAACCUACAGCAGCCCCAAUUAUGUUAUUGUUUUGCUGUAAGCCGCUCUGAGUCUGAUUUAUUCAGAUGCCGUGAGUCCCAAGGCUGGGGGAAAUGUGAAGAUUUAACUAAGCAAUUAAUUAAUUGCAAUGACAAUCGUUUUUCUUAGAGGUUUCCUUGGUUCGUAAAUGAUUUCCCCUCAUGACUUUUUGCAAAUAAACUUCAAAAUGGCUCCUUAUCAAAGUUGCAGAUGUCACCAAAUUUCGAGAGAUAGUUAAUACUCAAGAGGACAGGAUCAUAAUUCAAAAUGACCUUAAGAGAUUAGCGAGCUCAGCUAAAGCUAACACAAUGAAUUUCAACAAGGACAAAUGUAAAACCUUGGAGUCUUCAGGGACAAUAAGGUGACCAUGAGCAAAAAAGCUAAAAAAGCCAAUGAGUGGUG